UCUCCGUAGGUGAACCUGCGGAGGGAUCAUUACAGAGUUCAUGCCCUACCGGGUAGAUCUCCCACCCUAUGUUAUUAUUACUUUGUUGCUUUGGCGGGCCGUUAGGCUCCGGCCCGACUACCGGCCCCGGCUGGUAAGCGCCCGCCAGAGGACCCAAAACUCUGAAUAUUAGUGUCGUCUGAGUACUAUAUAAUAGUUAAAACUUUCAACAACGGAUCUCUUGGUUCUG
RNAcentral lists this unclassified non-coding RNA (229 nucleotides) under plant metagenome. RNAcentral describes it as "partial contains small subunit ribosomal RNA, internal transcribed spacer 1, and 5.8S ribosomal RNA". The record is from RNAcentral.